AAAUAAAUCAAAACUUUCAACAACGGAUCUCUUGGUUCUGGCAUCGAUGAAGAACGCAGCGAAAUGCGAUAAGUAAUGUGAAUUGCAGAAUUCAGUGAAUCAUCGAAUCUUUGAACGCACAUUGCGCCCGCUAGUAUUCUGGCGGGCAUGCCUGUCCGAGCGUCAUUUCAACCCUCAGGCCCCCGGGCUUGGUGUUGGGGAUCGGCGAGCUUCCGCGCCCGCUGUCCCCUAAAUCUAGUGGCGGUCUUGCUUUGAAUCCCUAUGCGUAGUAGCACACCUCGCACGCGGAAACAGCGCGGCCACGCCGUAAAACCCCCAACUACUGAACGGUUGACCUCGGAUCAGGUAGGAAUACCCGCUGAACUUAAGCAUAUCAAUAAGCGGAGGAAAAGAAACCAACAGGGAUUGCCCUAGUAACGGCGAGUGAAGCGGCAACAGCUCAAAUUUGAAAUCUGGCCUUCGGGUCCGAGUUGUAAUUUGUAGAGGAUGCUUUUGGUGAGGUGCCUUCCGAGUUCCCUGGAACGGGACGCCAUAGAGGGUGAGAGCCCCGUCUGGUUGGACACCGAUCCUCUGUAAAGCUCCUUCGACGAGUCGAGUAGUUUGGGAAUGCUGCUCUAAAUGGGAGGUAUAUGUCUUCUAAAGCUAAAUAUUGGCCAGAGACCGAUAGCGCACAAGUAGAGUGAUCGAAAGAUGAAAAGCACUUUGAAAAGAGAGUUAAAUAGUACGUGAAAU
RNAcentral lists this unclassified non-coding RNA (732 nucleotides) under Neonectria sp. PJ-2019. Its description in RNAcentral is "sequence contains 18S rRNA gene, ITS1". The stretch from base 332 to 732 matches the Rfam family "Eukaryotic large subunit ribosomal RNA", at positions 1 to 405 of the family's 3401-position model. Lineage: Eukaryota; Fungi; Ascomycota; Sordariomycetes; Hypocreales; Nectriaceae. The record is from RNAcentral.